Molecule: long non-coding RNA, 3152 nt
Organism: Paramormyrops kingsleyae
Lineage: Eukaryota; Metazoa; Chordata; Actinopteri; Osteoglossiformes; Mormyridae
Source: RefSeq, a predicted model, not a curated record
AGAAGCAAAACUUUAAGUCUAUUUAAAUCCGCGUUCUAUUAACCUAUCCGAGCUGUUUCGUGCAUUUUUGUCGCUGCUGGAUGCCUGUGUACUUCUCAAGAUUUACUGAUCAAUAAAGAAAGCUAGACGGAUAGAUAGAUAGAUUGAUUGAUUGAUUGAUUGAUUGAUUGAUUGAUAGAGCCUGGAAACACCCACCCAGAAGCAGCUAUGUAAAGUGGCGGGGAUUUCCGAACGAGAGCCCUGGCCAGACCGUGCAGGGAGCGCUAACGACCUGCGGCCAGUGAUGGUAUGCAAACUACUGACCGGCGCGCAACAGUAGCAAUAACGGGAAACGCGUGCAGCCUCCGUUAGGACAAGCCUGGGCGCCGAGGGUCCGGCUCCGCGCUCUCUGACUGCACGUGAAAAGGGCAACGCUGACGCUUUACGUACAUCUAAAUCCUUCUGGCGCUCCUAACCCACAGGUCAUAUCACAUCACAGUACGUUUAAUUUGCCAGUCGCUCCAUUUUCCUCAACCGAACCAGUUCGUAAUAUGUUAAACGACAUUUUAACAAUCUGCAUGGGGCAACUUCAGUUUACUACAAGCAAUAAAAAAGUAAUUUACUAAAAAACCUCGCACACGUAAGAGAUACAAUUUAAAAGCGCCCAGUGGUCGUUAAAGUUCGAAUGGGAAACUAGUCAGUUGAACUUUUUUUGUCUUUAUUAAAUUAAAAUUAAUUUAAACCACAGCCCUAGACACCCGACCAUUCCAAAGCUUAUCCAUUAGUUCAUCUGAAAUUAUUAAUUUCGCCUCCUUGCAGUCUAUUUGACAGCUGGCUUUUAAGCAUGAGUGCGUGUCACGGGACGGUCGCACCCCCGCAGCAGGGCGCCCGGUCCGAGACGGAAAUCUUCGCCUGCCUGCCAGUACCGGGGAGAAGCAGGGUUACCGGCAGACCGAUACUGCUGAAAGUCAAACUUCACCAAUUUACAAAUUUCACGCAUAGAUAUUUGAAGCUUAGGAUUCGAAUCAAUUCCAGGUUCACUAGGCCUAUCAAAUCCUUUCACGUUGCUUUUGAGCUUUAAUAAUAUUUUCCACAUUUAUAGGAUAUUCUUAGAGUAGGACCAUUGAUGUAUUACAAAUGCAAUAACGUGGAAUUAAACUAGGCCUGUACUUCCACCGUAGUCGAAAAAUGCCAAGGGUCUGGUUUAAACUGAAAACUACACUGUAAAACAUUUAAUGUCAGCUUUCCGGUCAGUACCACGCAUGCCACCAUUUUAUAAAUUCAUUAGAAGAAUUUUUACGCAUAUGACGCCAUUAGCCGGGUUGAACCGUUCUUAUAGUUAACACCAAAAAUAAAGGUACAUUUUAUUUUCUAGUAAGGCACAUAGCCAUUGUAAAGACACUUGCAGCUGGACAAAUUCCAUAGGAAAAGCUUACGGUUACGUGCGCACUUUAGUAAACUUAUAUUCCCAGUAAGACCAGUGCAUUUAGUUGCAGGACGUAUUCAGCUCGAUCAAGUACAGAUGUGAGCAUUAUACUACUCAGAUUUCAAAAGAUUUAUAGAAGAAUAAGACGUGCACCAAUGCGGCAUAUUUAUGUGCUAACUUACAGUCGUUUGUUCCCGAUGCUGCACAUUUAAAGAAAUUUAAACAGUUAAAUAGCCUUUUAGGUUUUAAAUGUACAGUAGGCCUAUACGUUUUGACGAUAGAAGAAGGGCGGAUCGUGACCUGGUGGACUAGCCACUGCUGCUUCGGUCUCUUUUUAUUUACAGUAUUUAGUAUCAAGUUUAAUUUAAUUGUUAUUUAAAUAACGGGUAAAGUUUAAAUAUUAUAAUUGAAAUAAGUAGGCCUAGCCCAUGUAAUCACAGGCUUAACGCGUAAUGCAUGUUAGCCUAUAUAAUCUCUCUAAAUAUUUAAGCUAUAAUGGGUGAACAGAUAAGGCUACGGUUAGUCAAAUUAAUUGUACACAUUUUUCUCUGUAGAGAGAACUGGUGAAAUUAUGAUGGGCAAAAAAGCUGCACUAGCUGGUGUCUAGUUUUUUUUUUUUUACCGUUUGGUCGAGUUGUAAGGCUGGGUUUGAGUGAGAAAAGAUAAAGACGGCGCUAAUGGAGUUGCCGAAACAGCAGUCAUAACAACUCAACUUCAAGUGAACGAUGUAACGCCAGUAAAAGAAAAGGGCCGCGUCUUCUUCACAAGAAUGGGCAGCUGUCAUCAUAUACGGACGCUCCAAGAAGUCUAGUGCCGGCUGCGGAAAACAGCCCCCUGCGUUCAUCGCUAUAUUUGAAGAAUUACCCAGAUAGAUUACUCAAGGAAAUCGAAUAAGCAAGAGAUCCACUCAGUUAAAGGAUCAAGCGUUAUGUUUUCUGACAGUUGAUUUAUUAUUCUGUCUUCUAGAUUCUUCAUUUAUACCAAAAAAUAAUACAUCAUUUUAGUCACUUUACGAGCAGUUGUUACUUCAGUUACCUUAUUCAAAUUAUUUAAAAAUCUUUUUUGGUACAGUGGUAAUCUUUAAUGCUAAAUGUGUAUACACAGCAUUCAGUCUUGUGCACAAAAUUGCAUGUAUAAAGCGUUGAUGUUGCACCAAAACCAGCUGAAAUAAACUGGCCCCUCGAAUGCGCGUUUCCACCUUCUGCUGCACCUCCUUCCUAAGUAGGUUACGCUUCUACUCUGAGGAAAUCAAAUUUGCGGGUUAACUGUGUCCUUCAGGCUGGCCGCCGGCCGCAGACCGCGAGCCCGUCCAGAUAAGGCCACUGCAUCUUCGCCGUUACUGCGCAGUCACGACUCCCUCAAAACUACUCCAUUCUGAAAAUUCUCAACAAACCAACCCCGGGCAGAGAGUGAAAAAUGGAUCUCCUCGGAAAGCGCUAGAAUGACUGCAGGAGGCUGGAUUCAGAGCAUGAGCAGUGUCUUCUGGAUGCUUAUCCUGGAACCACUGGAGUGCCUGCCAGUCUGGCGCUGGCCGUUUCCCCGCAUGACCUCAGUAAACAGGAGCGCUGACAAUGGGCACCAUGCCGCGGCCUGCCUGCCUCGCCUUGCCGCGCCGCGCUCUGUGAGUAACCCCGCCACGGCCGCCGCCGCAGGGAAGACAUCCUGGCGAGCAGAGCGGAGCCGGAAAGACGGCGGCCAUCUCGGUUCAGCAGGUCCGCCGUCAGGGCUUAGAAUGACGUGUUCCCAU